This 496-nucleotide ribosomal RNA is filed under the name uncultured bacterium. RNAcentral's name for it is "partial 16S ribosomal RNA". It matches the Rfam family "Bacterial small subunit ribosomal RNA", at positions 30 to 523 of the family's 1533-position model. The record is from RNAcentral.
AUUGAACGCUGGCGGAAUGCUUUACACAUGCAAGUCGAACGGUAGAGGGGGCAACCCCUCGAGAGUGGCGAACGGGUGAGUAAUAUAUCGGAACGUGCCCAGUCGUGGGGGAUAACGUAGCGAAAGUUACGCUAAUACCGCAUACGAUCUAAGGAUGAAAGCGGGGGAUCGCAAGACCUCGCGCGAUUGGAGCGGCCGAUUACAGAUAAGGUAGUUGGUGGGGCAAAGGCUCACCAAGCCAACGAUCUGUGGCUGGUCUGAGAGGACGACCAACCAUACUGAAACUGCGCCACAGGGCAGACUACUACGGGAGGCAGCAGUGGGGAAUGUUGGACAGUGGACACAAGUCUGAUCCAGCCAUUCCACGUGCAGGAUGAAGUCUCUCGGGUUGUAAACUGCUUUUGUGCGGUACGAAAAGGUCUCUCUUAAUACGGGAGGCUCAUGACGGUACCGUAAGAAUAAGCACCGGCUAACUACGUGCCAGCAGCCGCGGUAA